This is a long non-coding RNA of Phyllopteryx taeniolatus (common seadragon), 1792 nucleotides long. RefSeq lists it as uncharacterized. NCBI's taxonomy places the organism in Eukaryota, Metazoa, Chordata, Actinopteri, Syngnathiformes, Syngnathidae. The transcript is spliced from 3 exons. The record is from RefSeq and is a predicted model, not a curated record.
CCAAGCCCACCUCCCCUCCUUCUGUUGUCAUCCACUGAGGAGGAUUUUCUCCUGCUCAAUACAAGAUCUGUCACUGUGAAGUGCGUACAUUUCUGAACUUUUGUUACCCUAAGUGCAGAGGAAACGCUGCACUGCCGGAGUGAAAACACACGCGCAGGAGUUAUGAUGUGACACAGGUGCAAAGGAAAGCCUUCGUGAGUUCCAGCGAGGACUCGUGGAGGAAAGUCUGGAAAGUCCGGGCUGACUCAACGUGCCGUCACCUUCACAGAAUGCAGCGAGCCAGCACAGACGACGAGCGAGAAAGGCAGACAGGCAGACAGCGAGGCAGCAGGCACGCUGUCUGAAAACGCAGCUGAGGAAGGCAGUGUGAAAGGGAAUUGUGAUGUCGAAGGCCUGUGUUUGACAGAAAAGGGUCUUCUCCAAGCCAUUCCCACAACCAGGAAAAUGCUGACACAGAUAACAAGGCACUUGUCGGCUGUGUGAAAACAACCCUCCGACCAAACUACUUGUGCCCUACAUAACCAUCAGCUUGUGGCAGUACUUGACAAAAUGGGUCAAUGUUCAUUCUAUUUAAAAAACGCGAGUCAAACACAGGUCAAUUAUAUGUUCGUUCUUGCAGGCGUCAACAAUUCCACAAAAGCAGAUUAGCUGUUUUGCAUUGAAGCGAUUUGCAUGAACAAAUGUCAGGACGUUCCUCUUUGUCUCCUCCGCCCUUACAAACCUGCGUCUUCUUGGCUUCGCCCAAUUCUUGCAUUUAUCUGGGCGGGUGUUUUAAAAUCGCUGUUCAAAAGAUGUUGCUGCACACAGACAGGUGGGGCUUAUAAAGGGACAGUGAUGGCAUCUGUGAGACUUCUAUUAUUGAAAAUCGUGAAUUGAUGAGAUAAUGACAGCUAAUCACUUUGCAAACUUGAAGGCGUGGCUAAUUACUGCAUGUGUUGUGUUUAGCACAACCCUUCAUUAUCUGCAUCGGACUGGCACCUUUUGUUUACUCCGCGUAGCAGAAAGCUUGUUAGUUGGUAUGCAAAUACACUUAACACAUUUUUCUUUGAGGUGGAGAUACGUGUUAAGUUACGGUACAAUCCACAUGAAGGUCAAUCGAUUAACGUCUGUCCUCUGUCCUCUUCUGGCAUUUUAAAAGACUUGUUUCCACCUAGAAACAAGGUUCAGUUCAUUAUGAUACACACUAAAUAACCAAUCUUAAUCAAAAGUGUGCGAUUUUUCAGUAACCCAAGAAAAACACCAUUUUAGGAUCCAUUUACACUUACUAGUUUUUAACUCAUUCAGUUCCAGCACUCCCAGUUAACAUGAAUAUUAGACUUCUAUAGCAGUCAAUGGCAGUGAGUGUGUUUCAAAGAAAAACAGAUAAAACAUGAUUUGCAAAUAAAAUUAAAAACGUUGUGAAUAAAGUAAAAGAGUACUAUUCUAGUACUUUUUCUUAACCCAACAAAACUAAAAACAUCAUAUUCGGGGGCUGUUUAGAGAGAAACAUUUCAAGUAAAAACACUAAAAGCUGUAUAUUUUUGGGCACUUUUUUGCAAAACUUUAGAACUUUUGAAAAUAGGUCCCAAAAAGGAUGAUUUUAAAAAUGAUUGCAUUAUAGUACGUGACAUUUAUUCACAAAUAGCGGAACAAAGGGUUGUUACUGUGUGUGUGCCAGUUAAGAUAAUAAGCUCAAUAACACUUCUUGAGUAUGUUUAUUAUGACCAAUGGGACGCACUACUCCGGAACUCAAAUACACAUGUAAAACGUGUUUACUAGAUCAUUCUGUUCUAAAUGUACUCAUAAAAAUAAA